Callorhinus ursinus (northern fur seal) is the source of this 368-nucleotide long non-coding RNA. RefSeq lists it as uncharacterized. The record is from RefSeq and is a predicted model, not a curated record. Lineage: Eukaryota; Metazoa; Chordata; Mammalia; Carnivora; Otariidae.
CAGUGCUCAUCACAACACGUGCCCUCCUUAAGACCCAUCACCUGUUUACCCUACUGAAAUGAAUGUAAAUAAAGACAUGAGAGAUCCAGAAGAAUAUUUUCUUUCUAAAAGUGAGCCACAGGGUCGCGUCUAAACGCAGAAGAACCAGAAUACUCUACUCUUACCAUUCACCUGGAAGAAGGAAAGCCAUAAUUUUGGUGAACAUCUCUAAUGGCUACCAUUGUAGAAAUAAAGAAGAAAAGAAAACAGAACAGACAUGCCCCCUCCACAAACUGUCAAAAACACAGUGUCUCACCGUCAACAUGACUCAAAUCCCCAAUCAAGGAUAAAAUAUCUGUCAUCUAUACAAUAAAAUCUUAACACAUUAA